RNAcentral lists this ribosomal RNA (476 nucleotides) under uncultured bacterium. RNAcentral's name for it is "bacterial SSU rRNA". It matches the Rfam family "Bacterial small subunit ribosomal RNA", at positions 28 to 509 of the family's 1533-position model. The record is from RNAcentral.
GACGAACGCUGGCGGCGUGCCUAACACAUGCAAGUCGAGCGGAGAUGUACUGAAGAUUUAUCGGAUGUACAUCUUAGCGGCGGACGGGUGAGUAACGCGUGGGCAACCUGCCUUCCACUGGGGGAUAACACAGGGGAAACCUGUGCUAAUACCGCAUGACAUCACAUAGGGCAUCCUGUGUGAUCAAAGGAGUGAUCCGGGUGGAAGAUGGGCCCGCGUCUGAUUAGCUAGUUGGUGAGGUAAUGGCUCACCAAGGCGACGAUCAGUAGCCGACCUGAGAGGGUGAUCGGCCAAUUGGAACUGAGACACGGUCCAAACUCCUACGGGAGGCAGCAGUGGGGAAUAUUGCACAAUGGGCGAAAGCCUGAUGCAGCAACGCCGCGUGAGCGAUGAAGGCCUUCGGGUCGUAAAGCUCUGUCCUCAAGGAAGGAAUAAUAGACGGUACUUGAGGAGGAAGGCCCGGCUAACUACGUGCC